GCAAGUCGAACGAGUUCUCGUUGAUGAUCGGUGCUUGCACUGAGAUUCAACAUGGAUCGAGUGGCGGACGGGUGAGUAACACGUGGGUAACCUGCCCUUAAGUGGGGGAUAACAUUUGGAAACAGAUGCUAAUACCGCAUAGAUCCAAGAACCGCAUGGUUCUUGGCUGAAAGAUGGCGUAAGCUAUCGCUUUUGGAUGGACCCGCGGCGUAUUAGCUAGUUGGUGAGGUAAUGGCUCACCAAGGCGAUGAUACGUAGCCGAACUGAGAGGUUGAUCGGCCACAUUGGGACUGAGACACGGCCCAAACUCCUACGGGAGGCAGCAGUAGGGAAUCUUCCACAAUGGACGCAAGUCUGAUGGAGCAACGCCGCGUGAGUGAAGAAGGCUUUCGGGUCGUAAAACUCUGUUGUUGGAGAAGAAUGGUCGGCAGAGUAACUGUUGUCGGCGUGACGGUAUCCAACCAGAAAGCCACGGCUAACUACGUGCCAGCAGCCGCGGUAAUACGUAGGUGGCAAGCGUUAUCCGGAUUUAUUGGGCGUAAAGCGAGCGCAGGCGGUUUUUUAAGUCUGAUGUGAAAGCCCUCGGCUUAACCGAGGAAGCGCAUCGGAAACUGGGAAACUUGAGUGCAGAAGAGGACAGUGGAACUCCAUGUGUAGCGGUGAAAUGCGUAGAUAUAUGGAAGAACACCAGUGGCGAAGGCGGCUGUCUGGUCUGUAACUGACGCUGAGGCUCGAAAGCAUGGGUAGCGAACAGGAUU
Molecule: ribosomal RNA, 758 nt
Filed under: uncultured bacterium
Lineage: Bacteria
Description: bacterial SSU rRNA
Rfam family: Bacterial small subunit ribosomal RNA
Source: RNAcentral